GGGCUCCAAGCCUUGUCUAUGACCUACACCAAGCUCAUGGCAAUGCUGGAUCCUUUACCCACUGAGUGGGUCCAGGGAUUGAACCUGCAUCCUCAUGGGUAGUAAUGGGAUUUGUUUCUGCUAAUAGGAUGGGAACUGCUAUUUAAUUUUCUAUAUCUGUUUCCUUCUAUUAAAAUGUUGUUCCAUGAUGACAGAAUUUUUUGUGUAUUUUUCUCUGUUGUAUCCUAGCAUCUAAAAUACUCCUUUGCACAUAGUAGAUAUCAGUAACUAUUUAUUGAAUGAGCUAUUUGUCCUUGGGAGAAAUCAAGCAUCUAGAUUAGGGUAUUCCUGAGGCUAGGAAGAAAGGUAUGGAAUUUUACCACCUCCAUCCCUAGCGGGCCAGAUAGGAGGAAAUAGGGCUGAUGCUUCUGAAAAAGGAUUAGGUGAUGGUGCUUAUUGUCCUGUGCUACGCUGUCCUGUAAUUACAACCAGUGUUACAUGAAAGGACAGGGGCAGCCCUCUGACACAACUUGACAGUGAGCCCUGGGUCUAGAGCUGAACUGGUCCUGAGUCCAGGAAAUACUGGCCUGUCAUUCUUUAAGCACAUGUUACAGGAUAACAAAUCAUGCCAAACAAGUUAUAUAAGGAACAGGUUCAUUUUGGAGAUUCUGUGUUUCCAGUGAGAGAUUUUGUUGUUGUUUUAUUUUUGCAAAGCUUAUUAAUUUGGUUUCUGGGUUUUUAUAAUUUCACCUUUUAUUUCCCAAAUGCAUCAUUUAAAAAAAUUAAUUCCUUUUUAGUCUUUCAAAAAAUAAUUGAAGGCUAGAUUUGAGAUUUAGGGAUGUAACAAUAAUUCUAGUUCUUACCUCGAAUAGAGAUUUUAUUUUUUAUUUGUUAGGAUUCCUUUCUGCUGUCAUAUAUUUAUCAAAAAGAUAUGAAAGAAAAGCUUUUCCAUAUGGAUAAAAUAUAUCACUUCUGUAUCAAUAGCUGAAAGGAAUGGAUACAGUAGUGUCCUGGAGAGUUAGUUUAAAAUUCGUCUUCUUUAAUGAAAAAUGUUAUGGUACAAAAUCACAACUAUUAGGUUUCCACUUCUUUCACUUCUGCUUCAUAAAAAGAGAAUUGUUUAGAGGUAUGUUUAUGUCCCAUGAGAUUAUGCCUUAGGCCAUGUGAUUGUCCUGAACAAAGCAUAAGCUCUGAUAAUUCCUAAUAAAUUAUUACAUUUUACACAUCUCUUCCUGUCUUUUCUCUGAAGCAUUUAUCCAAGAAAACUGAAAAUAACAGAAUUGUGGGAAGACAUUUUUCUAAUAAAUUUGUUGACAGUUGAUUUGUUGUGAUUAGAAGAAAACCUCAGGAGUAGAGGGUUUGGGACCGAAAACUGACUUUCUGCCUCUACUGCCAGACACUACCUCCUUCUGCCCUUUUCCCCUCUCCUUGAGAGUUCCUCUGAGAGAAAUCAUGUGACCCUGUCACCACAGUUUUUGAUGCCAAAUAUCUAAGUGUCUUUAAGAUGCAGAACAACACUUUUAAAGGCAAAUAGUGAAGUAGUUUCAUCUGACAUUUCCAUUAUAGCUGCUCUUAGUGGAUUCUAGACAUCAUACAUAAAGGUAGCUAGCCAACUCAUUUAAAAAAUCAUAAUGCAAACCCAUCGAGCUGUCUUUUCAUAUUUGAUGCUCCAUCCAUUGAACAUGAAACACAUUUUUUUCUUAGAAAUGUGAUUUGAUAUUGGGAUAUCUACAGUACUCUGGAUUAGAUUUUUCUAGCGUUGGUUUUAUAUUUUAGAGGAUACAGCCAUUUCUCCUAGUUUUGUGACAUACCUAAGUAUUUCUGAGGUAUGUCAAUUACUUUGUUAUUUGCAGCACUCUGAGUCCAAACUGAAAAAAAAAAAUGUUAAAUUGCCACCACUAUUGUAGUUACCGUCAAAUUAUUUUUUUAUGUAGAGGUGAAAAUUGUAUUCUCAGAUAUUGUAUAUACUGUUUGUUUUUGCAUCUUAAAAUUUUUAUUAAAUCCAUUUUUAUUCAUUCAUUAAAUAUUUAACAAACACCUAUUAUGGGCUAGGAAUAGUGUAUGUAUUAUGACUUCAGUGCAAACAUGAACGAGAUUCAGUCCCUGUCUUUGAAGUGCUCACAGUCCAGAGGAAAAGACAGAUAGGUAAACAGAAAAAUUAUCACAGUUAUAGCAAUAAUAAAUUGCUUCUAGAGAGCUAUUGAAGGUCUCUGAUAUGCAGUGUGUGCAUAUACCACAUUUUACCAACUGAGCCACAGGAAUGGACUACCAGAAUGUCUUCAGCUUCCCACCACCACAGCUGUGCUUCAAAGAUCACUUUUGGAUUUAUUCCCUUCUGGAGCUGAAUGAGAAUUUCUUUGGAAUAUAUACUCAGAGGUGGAAGUGUGAGGUCUUAGAAUGUACAUAUACUAGAUUUAACCAAAUGCUGCCAGAUUCUUCCCUGGAGUGGCUGUAUCAGUCUUCAUCUCCACAGAUGUAUUCCUAUGUCCUACAUCUCUGUCAACACUUGGCAUCCUUCAGCAUGCUAAUUUUUGUUGGUCUGAGAAGUGUAACAUGCUUCCUCAUUGUUUUCAUUUGCAUUUCUUUCAUCGCUAACAAAUUUGAGCAUUUGCUUACAUUCUCGUUAGCCUUUGGGUUCUUUCUUCCAGAAAAAUAAAGAUAUUUUGUUCUCGUUGUUGGGGUCGCUGUCCUCUUGACUUGCAGUUACUUUCAUAUGCUCUAGAAUUCAGGUCACUUGUCACUCUUAGGCAUUGCAAAUGCCUUCUGCUAUUGCCAUCUUUGUUGUGAGUUUGUGAAAUUAUUUGUAUAUUUUAUUGCAUAUUGCCCUUAUUUUAUAAAAACUAGUGGGAAAUUAAAAUAUAAAAGUGCUAGUAUUAGCAAAAAGAUAUGUAGGUCUCAUAAACUAAUACAGUUGGGAUAAAGAUGGAAAAGUAUUGGCCUUGCCCAAAAUAAUGCAUCUUUAUUCUCAGUUUGACCUUCAUUUCUCUUGAUAAAUGAAGGAAAAGAUUAAGGCUAAAAUAACACCUGUAAAAUGCUGAAAAUAUAUCUUUGAAGAGCCUGAUAGACUGAAUGUAAUUGUAGAACCAGAACUUCCCUUAUAACAUGAAAUUUCCUUGUUUGACCUGUGUACAGUCAGCCUUUGUUCACAUUUUUAGGAACAAAUUAUGCACCCAAAGUCAGGAGUUCUGUCUAAGAGACUGGUUACAAGGGCAUUGCUAAAUAAAAUCCACCACUUUAGGGCACUGACCAAUUCCAACUAUAGUGUGUUUGUAAAAUUGUAUUUGGUUUCUGGUAAGGAAGGUAGAAAAGAAGAGGACUAAGAAAAGAGUAUAGAGGAUAAUUAUUUUAUUCUAUGGGGGAAAUUUUGGGGUCCUCUUCUUCAAAGGUUUUAAAUUAGUAUAAGGAAAGGAAGUUGGAUUUCUAUGAGAACAAAGAUGGUAAAAAUUAACAAAGACUUCCUGUAAGAUUUGCUUAAAGAGCUUUGAUAAGGUGAAUAAACAAUAUGUAGUUCUUCCUUUCUGUCUUUAACCCUUAUGUUAACUUCUUUAUCCUCACCAUUAGCCUUAUGCAAAAAAAGUUUCAGGUCUCUCCUAUCUUAGAAAAAAAAUUCCCUUGACCUUGCGUUCCUUUUAGCUACCAUGCUAAUUCUUUACCACCAAGGUGAGCUGCAUUUAUCAAAAACAUAAUCUACACUUGGUACUGACACUUUCUGACUUUCUAGUUGCUCUUCCUUUAAAAAAAAAAAAUCUCUUUGAUCAUGUUAAAAUAACUAUUUUAUUAGCUUUACUAAAUUAUUCUCAUUUUGGCCUCUUGUCUUACCAGACUUUUUCUGUACUUUCAGUAUUCCUGAAUAAGCACUCUUUUUGAAAUGUUCUUCUUCCUUGACUUUUCUCUUCUGAUUCUUUUUGUACUUGUUGGUGUUCUUUACUUUCAUCCUGGGCUUUCCCAAAAUAUUUCUACUCACCAAAUGUUGAUAUUCUUCAAGUUUAUUUUUCACUGUGUUCUUCUCUACAAAGAUAUGAUCCCAUAUAUUUUCAUGAUUGUAACUAUUACCAAACUGUAUUUCCAGUUUUACCCUUCCCUUUCCUCCCUAUAUUCAGUGGCUUGCUGGAUAUAUGCAUUUAGGUGCCCCAAACUAAGCUUAUCUAAACCUGGACUCGUUACUUUUCCCUCAAUACUCGUUUCUCUCCAUGAAUUCCUGAGUCACUUAGUGACACCACCUUUUUCCUGGUCAUUCAAACAGGAAAUCAAGCCUCCUCUCCUUCAACUAUUUGUCUGACUAGAGACCAGGAAUUCCUUUUUUAGCUCCUAAAUAUUUUAAAAAUCAGUAUUCUCUCUAUCCCUACUACCAUACAUAGUUAGGGUCCUCAUUAUUCAUUCACUUUUUCAUACAACAAGUAUAUAUUAGAUAACUACUACAUGCCAGGUUUUGCAUGCUAGGUACUGAAGUCAUGGGUGGGGGGUGGGGGGACACUGAGACAGCAAAGUCCCUGCCCCAUGGAGCUUUUAUUAACAUGUGAGAGAUAGUAAACAAAUAAAUAUAUAACAUAUGAUAAAAUGUUACAGAGCAGUGACAUUCUUUUGUUACUGAGUGGUAGUUUAGGUAAUUUGCAGGUUUAGUUUUUUUAGGAUGUAAAUAAAAUCUCUCUUGAAGAUUCAAUCUAUAAUUAAAAUAAGUGCCAGAAAAUGCCAUAUUAUAACUAUUUCUCUUUUAGAUAUGCAAGACAUAAAUUUACUUAAAAUUGUUUGUAAGUCUAAACAGUUGUUUCCUUUACAUUAUUGAUAUGUAUUCCUUUAAAUAAUCAUUUGAUUAUAUAGAUACAUUAUUUUAUCUGGUGGCUUUUUCUUUAAACUCUCUGUAGAAAAUUUCCCAGAAGUGGAAAUAUAUACUCCCUCUCAAGAGUAUUUAUAAUUUUCUUUCAAUAUUUUUUCAGUCCAUUCUCUGAAAUAUCUAUGUAAAAUUUUUGUAGAUGUCUUUAAAGUGGUGUGACUUUUUUUAGAAAAUAGCAAACUAUAGCUAUUGAGUGAGUGAGCCCUGGAGUACUCAAAUUCUAUCUCAGCAUUUAAUAGGAAGGGUAUAUAUCUGGGUAUCUUUAUGCCCACACUAUGCUAUUCUUUGACUUGCUACUGUUGGUGAUGAAUCAGUCAAUGCUUUUCUAAAACCAGUAGCUGAACUGUAACUAACACUUCUUGUUGGGGUAGGGGUGGAGGGGCAGAACAUUGAUCUAGGCUUGCCAGGUGAGUUAACUACCAUCACACCUGUCCCACAGUCAGUAAAGUUCUGCUAGAGGAUGGUACUAGGUCUUUUUUGACCUCUGAACACAAACCUGAGUCUUCCCCCUAAUGUCCACAUCUUUAAAGACUUCAGCAGCUCUAGGAGUUCCCAUCAUGGCGCAGCGGAAACGAAUCCAACUAGGAACCACGAGGUUGUGGGUUUGAUCCCUGGCCUUGCUCAGUGGGUUAAUAAGGAUCUGAUGUUGCUGUGAACUAUGGUGUAAGUCAUAGAUGCAGCUUAGAUCUGGCAUUGCUGUGGCUAGGGCGUAGGCUGGCAGCUACAGCUCCAAUUCGACCCCUAGCCUGGGAACUUCCACAUGCUGUGGAUGUGGCCUAAAACAAGACAAAAGACCAAAAAAAUAAAAUAAAAUAAAAUAAGACUUUAGCAGUUCUAAUGAAGAUGAACCUGGCAGUCUGAAGUGAGAAAAAAAAAAAAAAA
Molecule: long non-coding RNA, 5692 nt
Filed under: Sus scrofa (pig)
Lineage: Eukaryota; Metazoa; Chordata; Mammalia; Artiodactyla; Suidae
Description: lncRNA (ENSSSCG00060046604.1)
Source: RNAcentral